UAAGGUUACCAUUCAUCAUGGUUUGCCUGGGACCGAGAGGCUUCCCAGGAUGCAGAUCUUCCAGAGCU
RNAcentral lists this microRNA precursor (68 nucleotides) under Tupaia belangeri (northern tree shrew). Its description in RNAcentral is "miRNA (ENSTBEG00000017997.1)". The record is from RNAcentral. Lineage: Eukaryota; Metazoa; Chordata; Mammalia; Scandentia; Tupaiidae.